ACCAUCCUUUUCUUGGGGUUGCGCUACUGUCCAAUGAGCGCCCAGUGAGGGCAGUACUGCUAAUGCCUGAACAACACGCCCGCAUCAACUAGAGCUUUGCAUUAUCUUGGUGCAAUUUUUGGAAAA
Small nuclear RNA from Mustela putorius furo (domestic ferret), 126 nucleotides. NCBI's taxonomy places the organism in Eukaryota, Metazoa, Chordata, Mammalia, Carnivora, Mustelidae. The record is from Ensembl.